RNAcentral lists this long non-coding RNA (271 nucleotides) under Setaria italica (foxtail millet). Its description in RNAcentral is "long non-coding RNA (SITA_LNC002675)". The record is from RNAcentral. Lineage: Eukaryota; Viridiplantae; Streptophyta; Magnoliopsida; Poales; Poaceae.
UGCAACACGCCAAUCUGAAGCAGUGUAAGGACAACUCUCGAAGAGCAUACGGAAGUUACGGGUUGCAACAAUCUUUGAUUUUUUGGAGGCAGAAUGAACAUUGUCAAUAAAGUUCUUGUGGGGCAUUGAUGCAUACAGGGCUGGGUGGUGCCUGAGGUACUAAACAUUGUUGAGGUAUUCACUACUCAAUUUGAUACAAGACUCACUCGCCCACUCUUUGUGUGGCUAUCCUACCAUGACACCACUACACUACAUGGCUACCUUACAAUCU